Molecule: ribosomal RNA, 497 nt
Filed under: uncultured bacterium
Lineage: Bacteria
Description: partial 16S ribosomal RNA
Rfam family: Bacterial small subunit ribosomal RNA
Source: RNAcentral
GACGAACGCUGGCGGCGUGCCUAAUACAUGCAAGUUGAGCGCUGAGGGGUGGUACUUGUACCAACUGGAUGAGCAGCGGACGGGUGAGUAACGCGUGGGGAAUCUGCCUUUGAGCGGGGGACAACAUUGGGAAACGAAUGCUAAUACCGCAUAAAAUAUUUAAACACAAGUUUUAAGUUUGAAAGAUGCAAUUGCAGCCAUCAAAGAUGAUCCCGCGUUGUAUUAGCUAGGUGGUGAGGUAAAGGCUCACCAAGGCGAUGAUACAUAGCCGAACUGGGAGGGUGGAUCGCCAACAUGGGAAUGAGACAAGGCCCCAACCCCCUACGGAGGGCGCAGGAGGGGAACUUUGGCAAAGGACCGAAGUCCUAACGAGCCACCGCGGCGUAGGUGAUGAGGGUGUUCGAUUCGUAAAACCCGUUGGUAGAGGAGAACGUUGUGGGGAAUUGAAUGCGCACCAAUUGACGGUACCUACCCAGAAAGCGACGGCUAACUACGUG